CUUGGGGACCCUGCCUCCAGUCACAUGGGAGGACACCAUUUUUGGCCUCCGGCCAUACUAAGACAUGUGCAAUGUGGUCCUUGGACCCUCCUUUAUCUGAUGGCCCAUGCAGGCAAAGUUCACCAUCCAGUGCCUGUCCCCCUCCAGUCUGCCACUGCCCAUGCUGUCUGUGGGGUGCCCAAUCUCUCCAACCAGAUUGGAAGCUCCUCAGGGGCAAGCAAGCAGCUUAUCUCUUCCAUACUCUCACAGUGCUCAGGCAGGAUCGGCACUAGAGAGCAUCUCUUGCAAAACUCUGGGUCAGCAAAACCCUGUAGUCAGCAUCUGCUCACCUGCUCUGCCUACUGCCCACAUGGCUUCUCUGAGUCCUUCCCUGGGGGACAAGCCAAGGGUGCAGGGGAGCAGGAUUAGAGGCAAGGAGGGCACAGAGUUGCAACUGGCUCUGCCCCUGCAUUAAAGCCUUGGGCAGAAUGGGCCACAACCAACCAGCAGCCAGGCCAAAGGCUUCAGAACAAGGGCCUCUGUGUCCCACAACGUGUAGCACAGCCCAUCAGUGUUCCUCAGCAGGACUGCUGGAGAUGGAAGGCUGAGUCAUUAAUUACUUUCUUUUAUUAAAAAUGUACACAAGUAAAAGGAACAUGGUUUAAUUGUACAGAGUAAGAAAUACAGAUGAGUAAAUAAAAUCAUUAAUUAAAGCCACCUGCAGUAUACCACCCAGAAGUAAUCAGGCUGUUAAAUUUUUAGACACUUGAGUGCAAACACAAUUUCUCACUCCCUGGUGCAUAUGUAGGAGCUCUGUCCCAUGCAGACCCAGGCAUGGUCUCAAGUGAUGCUCUUGCUGGGAAUGCUGCAAGCAGCAGUCUGUGCUUCCCCAGCACUGGCCUGGGGCCCUUCCUCAGCCCCCAGGUCUCUCUGCACACAGAUAACGUGCAGAGAUUGGCAUCCAAGAGCCAAGAGUCCAAAGGGCCAGCUGUCCAGGCCGCAAAGGUAAUCUAGAAUACAUUAGGAGGUGCAAAGGGCCUUGGCGGUUGGGUGACAGACUGUCCCAGUUUGCUCAGGACUGAAGAGUUUCCAGGGAUGUGGGUAGUGCCAAAACUGAGAAAGGCCUGGUCAAACUGGGGUGAAUUGGUCACCCUACUUAGAGGGACAAAGGCUUUGUCCAGCCCCUCCCUACACUGCCCACAGGCCCUCCUGCUGGGCCAUAGAUCCCCCAGGUCCUCAUUAAGCAGCCCAGGACAAAGCCUCGGCAGGGGCCUCCUGUUCCCUCUGGCCCCACAAAGGUUUCAGCCUGAGGCCCAGGGAAGGAGAGGGGAAAGGGAAUGAGUAAAGGCAGACAGGCAGUUGCCACCUGAGGAAAGGCACCAGGUGAACUCUGGCUGUCAAGGGCAGCCAGGGGUGCAGAGGUGGAGGGGCUCCAACUCUUGGCCUCCUGCCCCUCCAGCCCUGGAGCUACCUUUAGACCUCAGUGUCUGAGUCCUCCUAGCUCUGGCCCCAGUCCUUGGAAAGUGCAGGGUCUCUGUGCAGGCCCCAGGCGCCUCCCACAGCCCUGGUGCAUCCAGCCUUGCAUCUCCCUCUUCCUUGUGUCCAUGCUUCCUGGCACUUGCUGCCCAGCUCUUCUCCACCUAAGACUGAGAGCAGAGGAUGGGAGAAGAGAAGUCCAGGACUGGUUGAGCUGAAUCAGGUAGGUGGGAGGGGACCUGGGCAAAUAGGACCUCUCUGACAGUGGCAGCACAUCCUGACUGUGCUCUGGCCAGGGCUGCUGUCUAUGCCUGAGGAACCCAGAGGAGUAGGCAGAAUAAUGGUCCACAGUGGCCUAAAGAUAUCCACAUCCUAAUGCAUGGAAUCUGUGAAUAUGUUAUGUUACAUGGCAAUGGGGAAUUAAGGUUGCAGAUGCCAUUAAGGUUGCUAAUCAGCUCACUCUAAAAUAGAUUAUCCUGGAUUAUCUAGAUGGGUCCAAUGUAAUCACAAAGGUCCUUAAACAGGGAAGAAGGAGGCAGAAGAGUCAGAACCAGAAGGAUGGCAUUAUAUGAAAGACUUGAGCAGCCAUUGCUGGCUUUGAAGGUGGAGGAAGGGGCCACAACCCAAGGAAUGCAGGUGGCCUCUAAAAGCUGGAAAGGGCAAGGAAACAGAUUUUCUACUAGAGCCCCCAGGAAGGAAUGCAGCUAUGCUGACAUCUUGAGUUUAGUCCAGUAAGGCUCAUUUUGGACUUCUGACCUACAAAACUGUAAGAUAAUAAAUUUAUGUUAUUUUAAGCCACUUAAUUUAUAGUAAUUUGUUACAGUAGCAAUACUGGGAAAUCAUCUGGGGGAUGCAGCUGCCCAAAAUCCCUUGGUUAGAGUCAGUCUCACAGAGUUCCACAGUCCCUCUGUGAAAGACCCUAUUCUGUUCUGGGCCCAUGCCCUGGGCAGGGAAUGGGCCUCCAUAGCUUGGAUGGGUCAAGAAGGAUGCCUGAGGAAUAGUGCCCCUGCUGGUCAUGUCUACAGGAAACAGCUGCCUCCUGAACCCACUCCUCAAAACUCUGAAGCUGCUGGCUCCGAGUUGUCCUGGAGGAGCUGCCCUAAGGUCAGGCCACCCAGCACAUCCAGCCAGAGCCUGCAGUCGUGGUUUAAAAGUCCCACAGCGGGGUUCUGUGUCCUUUCCACAUACCUAUAAUAUUCACAGCACUCUCAGUCCUUCAUCUCACUAAGUGGAUGCAGUUUGGCUCAGGAAAAGCUAGGACUAGAGGGAAAAAAGUUUAGAGACAAAAAUCUCUAAAGUGGAUGUCAGCCAGAUACGCAUACAAUCCCUGCUCUGCUACUUACUAGCUUUGUGGCCUCAAAUUAGCCACUAGAUUUCUUGUAGCCUUUGUUUCUGUAUCUGAACAAUGGGUGUAACAGCUCUUGUCUUAUCUGCCUCACAGCGUGAGUCUCAGUUGAGAUAACACAUGAGAAAACACUGUGCUGCACAGACUGAGAUGCCCUUGUUAUUAAUAAACAAUAACGACCACAACCCCAUCUGCCUUUGGAUGGAGUGGAUGAUCACACAUCCUGUGCUGAGGAAGGAAGGGUGAGUGCAGACUCAGCAACUCGGUCUUGCCCACAGGCAGGACGCUGCAGCCUGGCCAGGAGAGGCGAGAAAGGCUUGUCUUUCUCUGAGCCACAGCCUUGGAGCUCACACCGGACGGACGGACCGGCAGCCCUCAGGAUGUCCUCCCAACCACCACAGACUGGGCUUUGUGCUUUUUUUUUUCCUAAGGAAAAAGUUUUCUAGAGUUUCUUUUGCAUUAAAAACAGUCCCUCCUUCUCACAAAACACUUACAAUUUCACACAAAAAAGGUGGAACAUGGAACUAUACACAAUACAAUUCCAAUCUAAUGAAUAUAUAAUAUAUGAUUUUGUUUUUCCUUUUUCUCCCCAAAGCCCCCUAGUACAUAGUUGUGUAUUUUUAGUUGUGGAUCCUUCUAGUUGUGGCAUGCAGGAUGCCGCCUCAGCGUGGCCUGAUGAGCGGUGUCAUGUCCACACCCAGGAUCCGAACCAGUGAAACCCUGGGCCGCCGAAGCAGGGCACGCAAACUUAACCACUCGGCCAUGGGGCCAGCCCUUAAUGUAUGGCUUUAUGUGGAAUACCUACUGGGAGAAAUGCAUCAGAAUACUAAUGGUGAUUAUCUUUGGGUGGUGGGAUUAUAGGUGAUAUUUUCUUGUUUAUAUUUCUAUAACUUAAAACUGCUCUACAAUGACUCAUAAUUUUACAGUCAGAAAACAAUUAUAUACAUGUAUAUAUGAAAAGUGCUAGGGACUUCCUUUUGUGGGGCCACAACUGGGCUUGAGGAGUCAUUUGAGCUGGGUUCUGCACAGGUGGGAGGCUUGGCCCUGGUCCUUGCUGUGGGACCUUGGAGACUCACUACUUUCCCUCCCUGGCCUCUGAUGGCCUGGUCAGACAAGAUGCUCUCUAGGAUCCUUUGCAUCUCAAUAAUUAAAAUACUCACCUUCGUCUCACCCAUCCUUGCUCCACAUCCAGCUUCCAGUGGCUUCUCUGUUCCUAGAGAACUCCUUAUUCAGGCUUUGAGGUUGAGACCCCCCUCCCUCACCAGGUUUUCUUCCCCUAGACCUGCCCUGGGAGUCCCAGCCUCCUGGGAUUUGCCUACAUCACAAUCUGCACUUCUCAGAACCCUGCCCUUCCUUGAAGAACAAAGCCUGGCCAAAUCCUGUGCAGCGUGCUGGCCUGAAGUAACCCCUGCUUCCCUCUAAUUUGUGCAUAACAACAGCUACCAUUUAGUGACUGUUAACUUCAGGCCACAAAGCAAAAGUGCUCUCAGUUAAUCCCAGGUCACCAGCAGCUGCAUAGACUAACAGGUGGAGUUGUGCUGUGUGGUCACCCUAUUUGAUCCUCUCUUGCCCCUGUAGGAUGUAUUGUUAUCCCCAUUUCACUGAUAAGAUAACUGAGGCUCAGAGAGGUCAAGUGAACUCAUCCACGGCCACACAGUGGGUUUGUGGCAGUGCUAGGACCUGAUCUCGAGUCAGUUGGUUCCAAGUCCAGUGUUUUUUCACCCUCAGUGGUGUCGUCCUCAACAACUCCCACAUCCCAGCACUGGAGGGCAGGGAGGGUGUGUUCCAAGUUGAACACAAAGAAAGCACCCAAUAAAUGUCUGGUGGUGGGGGAGCUGAUCACAAUAAGUUCAACCAGGGUUUAUCAUUCAAUCAACAGGUCUUCCCAGAGUGUCUGUGGGCUCUGGGGGCCAGGGCCAGGCCGAUUCUCUUCAUUGCUAAAUUCUGGCACCCAGCAGUGCCAGAAACACAGUACCUGCUAAAUAAAGGACACUGAAUUCAUGAUUGUUCAUUCAAAUAAUAAAACAAUUAAGCAAAUAAUAUGAGCUAACAUCUGUGGAGUGCCUACCACAAGCCAGCUCUCAGGAAGUCUCCAGGAGAGUUGAGGAGAAAUAUAACACUGAUGACAAGGACUGCAGCGUGGGGUUUUACAUCAAAAAAGUGUCUAUGUAAAGGCUGUGAAAACACCAAAGAAAGAUGAUCAGCAGCAAACCCAAACCUUCCUGCGUGUCUGAGGCCAUGUCAGCAGCUGUCACAAUCACGGUUUGAAUACACAGACUGCCGAAGCACACAAACCUGGAUUUUCCAUCUGCAUCCAUGGUUCUGCCUGUUCAGACUGCAUCUGGAUACUUCUGUUGCCUCUCCAGAGUGGAUAACCAGAAUGCUGAGGGCUAUAAAACAAAGAGUUGUGGAAACUGGUGAUAUUUAGCUUGGAGAAGAAAAAGGAGGGUUGUCUUUAACAGGCGAUGGGCUGCCAGUGGGCAAGAGCCCUGGCUACCCACUGAGGAAGCCCGCUCUAGCUGGCUGGGCUGUCUGGAGAUGGACCAGAGAAGCAGGGAGCCUGGUGGGCUGCCUCUGGGACCUAAAGAGCCCUUAUUCUCUCCAGCAUAGACUCUACACACUUGCUCACACAACAAACGUUUAUUAACUGUCAUCCACGGCCUAUUCCAGGCUAGGGAAAUCAGGAUGAAUAAAACAGGCUUGCAACCUUAGAAAACGCCAGCCCUCUAGGGGACAGAGUCAGGAAAGCCUCAUCCUGUGGCCUUAGACUCCUUAUUGUACAUCCCACAGGGUCCUGUCUCAGCCACUGCUAAAGGCCAUUUUAUUCCUUGUAUUCUGAAGCGGCCAGGCAUACGGCAGAUAAUCAACAAACACAGGCAUCCCUGAAGAGGGGAUCCUGGGACGGAAACUCCAGCGCCCUAUGGGGCUGAGUCCCAUGCAUGGUCAUUUGCAUUUGUCCUUCUGUCCCCUCAGAUGUCCUCAGGUCCAGACAAGCCUUGACCGUGGUGUCUUCCAGCCCCUGUUGCCACGACCAGUGGUUGAUCUUCCCUGGCUGUAGUGCCAUGUCAAAGGAUGUCCUCCACUUCUAAACUGCAUACCAGUCUUUAUCUUCCAUUCCCUCCCCGGCUCCUCAGUCUGCAGUCACAGCUGUGGUUCAGCAACCAGUGUGGCACUCUUGUGUGCUAUUCCAAAGAUGUCCACGUGGAGUAGAGCUCAUUCUGUUGCCCUGUCCAUUCACCACACCAUUCAGUGCUGGAAUUGACAUACAUACACUUUUAUUUUUUAUUGUGAAACAAUAAUUAUGCAGAAAAAUGCACAAAACAUAUGUUCAGUUUUAAGUAUAAAAUAUAAAGCAAAUAUUUGUAUAACCACCACCAGGUCAAGAGAUAAAACAAUGUCAAUCACCCUCAAAGACCCCUGUGUGCCCGUCCUAAUCACACUCCCAACCCUCCCCUGUGGUCAUAAUGAAAUCGACUUUUGUGACAAUAAUUUCUGUGCUUUUUAUAGUUUUACCUCCCCUGCAUGUAUGCUUAAACAAUACCGUCCAGUUUUGCUAGUUGUUAAACUUUUCACAAAAGAAAUUAUACUGUACAUAAUCUUUUGUGUUUCAUUUAACAUUCUGUUGAUGAGAGCCAUCCACUAUUAGAGUAUUAUCCAACAUUACAGUAUUACAAGUCACUAUAGUUCAUUCAUUUCCACUGUAGGAAUGUUGCACAAUUUAUUUGUAUUCUUUGGUGUUGAUGGGCACUUGGACUCUUCCUGGUGCUGUGUGGAUAUUCUGGUGCACAUGGGUAAGAGUUUGGUUAGAGAAGAUUCUGAGGAGUCGGGCUGCUGGGUUAUAGGGCAUAUGUACUUUCCUCUUUACUAGAUCACUUAUGUACUUUUUAAUUCUGAAAAUGUUUCUCAGGGAAACAGUGCUUUAACACCCUAGCAUUGUUUGGGGUAGAGGAAAUGAGGUAUGCCUGCCCUUGCAGUUUGACCGGCCCGCCUUCUGUCCUCAGAACCUCGUCCCCUCCAGCCCAGACACCUUGUUUCCUCUGGCACCCAGAGGCUGGAGCCCCUUGGCAGCAGGCUCCUCUCUGGUCUCCCCGCCUCAGUGAUGCAGUUGGGCGGAGGUGGAAGCAGGCUGAGAAUGAGGAAGUGGAAACCAAAUAUGAGGGCCACAGAGAAGUCCGGUGCACAAACCUCAAUGUUUCAGCAGCACACUCGCUGGGAGAAGAACGUGCAAGCUGCCUGUGGAGCACGCCCAGCAGGCACAAAGCCCACUGGUGCCAAGGCGUGCUACUGGACAACCCACCACUUUGCAGUGGGUUCCUGUACAUAAGUCACUCCGUGCCAUCCUCACUCCAUCUUGUGAGGUAGGUGUUAUUAUCCCCAUGUCACAGAUGAAGACACUGAGGCACAGAGACAUUGAGUGACUGGCAAUAUAGUACAACAGUCAAUAGUGUGAGCUCUGGACCUGUUUAAAUUGGGUUUAGGGGCCAGCUCUGUGGCCUAGUGGUUAAGUUUGGUGUGUUCUGCUUUGGCGGCCCAGGUUCACGGGUUCAGAUCCCACAGGCGGACCACUCGUCGGUGGCCAUGCUGUGGUGGUGACCCACAUACAAAGUAGAGGAGGAUUGGCAACAGAUGUUAGCUCAGGGUGAAUCUUCCUCAGCAAAUUAAAUAAGUAAGUAAGUAAAUAAAUAAAUAGGAUUUAAAUUGUGGCUUUCCCAACUUACUGUGUAACCUUGGGCCAGUUACCUGACUUCAUUUAGCCUUAGUUUCUCAUCUGUAAAAUGGGGCUAAGUGACUCACAGCGUCGUUGAGAGAGUUAAAAGAGAUAAUGUGUAGAAGCAGCUUAGCAGAGUGCCUGGCACAAAGCAGGAAUGAGCAGAACUAUGAAAUGGAGCUAUGGAGUUCCAAGGUAGACAGUCAAGACAUAGGGGGACAGGCAACUCAUCUUGGCAAGCUGGGACCAGGCCACUAAGCUGAGGGAGCUGAUUCAGCGCUGUGUGAGGACUCAGUCAGUGGAGUGCUGCCCCAGUAGACUAUGAAACAUGGGCAUCCGGGCAGUCCUGCCCCCCGGCCCCUAUGCCCAGAGCUCUCUACCGAUCUGUGGCUGCUUCAAAGGGCAGUGGUUUCUGACAGGGAGCAGCUGGAUCCCUGCACAUGUGGAAGCUUCAGCCCAGCUUCAGCGCUCGCCUCCGGAGACCGCAUUGGCAGGCGGCAGCAGUGGCAGCCAAUGGGCAGCGAAGCCUGUUGCUAAGGUCACUGGUGAACCUUAUUUGGCGACAUCAGGCUGACCCUGCAUUCACCUCUGAGAACCCUGGGAAACGCCAACCACAGAUGUGAAAUGAACGUCUCAAAACCACAACUGCAUUUCCUUUGAGAAAAGAUUUGGCGCUCCUCUCCAGCCUGCCUCUCUAGGGCUGGAUGCCUUUUGUACAAUAGCUUGCAACCUCAGGAGAGAAGAGCCUGGGUGGGGAGGCUGCUGCAAACCCAUCCUGGGCAGGCCCGGGCAGGGAGAGGGCAGGGUCUACUGCACAGGUGGCCUCAGGACCCAGCAAGGACCUCAAGGCUUCUGUUCUCACCCUGGCAGCUGCCGACCCCUGCCCAGACCUCCCCACACACACCCUGAAGUAUUCCUGGCCUCACUUCCUGCAGCCUUGGGAAGUGGCUGGUAUGAGGAAGACCCGCGGCACGCAGGGAGGAAGUGGGCCAGCCGGGCCCUCACCAUCUGCAGCGGCCACACUGCUUCGGUGCAGCCUACAGCUCAAACGGAAAAGCAGAUCCACUCAAAGGCCUCAAAUGGUCUGAGGAAAAGGCACGUCCAGCUCAGUGGAGUGAGAUACUGGAGUGGGAAGAGGUCUAUCUUUGCUGAUGUGAGUAAGCCUCCUGCAGAGGAAGUAUUGCAGCAUGCUGUUGUAAUGUGUUUCUUCUCUGGCAGUGUCUGUUGAAAGUUGGUUGCAUCAGUUUGUAAUGGAAACAAGGUGGGCCCUAACCCCGCCCCAAGGAAGUGGCUCACUCAGCACAGCUGCUGCACGGCCAUUUAUAGAGAGAUGGCAGCUGGACUUCCCAGGGACUGCUACCCAGGCCAGAGGCACUGUUGAGGCGCUGAUGCCCUGUAUAUUGGGGGGUAUAUGUCCCAUUCAGGGUGUCUGUUUGUGGGUAACAGCCAACUCCGGUUUCCAGAUGAUGCCCAAACUCCCUGUCCUCUGGGGCCAGAUUAGGAACUUGCAACAUCUUGCUGAGGACCGCAGCGGGCUUGGCUCAAGUGCUCGAGCUGAGAAUUUUCCUUCCUCUCUAUGUGGUUAGUGGCAGCCACACUAGUUAGCAAUGGCCUACCUCCAGCAUACUCUGGUCAAACUACAGGCAGCUCAGACAGGACAAGAAAGGACUUGGGCCUAAAUACUACACAGGUGUUCUGCCCACCUGGGCCCCAUCUACACUCCCAGAAGUGCAUGGACCGUGAACCUUCUGCUGUGGGAGGAGCUGUGCAGAGAGGCCUCAGAAGCUUCCCCCAGCCCUCCAGGGCCCUCCACUAUCAAGCCAUGGGCUGGCUUUUCUGGCAGUGUCCCUGCAUGUCUGCCUCCCAGCGUUGCUUCUACAGAGCAAGAGGGAACAGGAAGGGACCUGGGGCCACUUGCACCUCCCCUUGGUGGGACGCUGAGGGGCUUCGCUGGGCUCACUGGGCCAAGGGACAAGAGUGGCGUGGGCUGGAAGAGGACAAGCUAAACUGAUAAAGGCUACAUUACUCAAGUCUAGCGACAUUAAAGACAAACAGACCUGUCUCCAACUGCCCAGACCCCACUCCCUAAAUUAAGAAAAAAAAAAUCCCUGGAGGUAAAA
Long non-coding RNA from Equus caballus (horse), 9628 nucleotides. NCBI's taxonomy places the organism in Eukaryota, Metazoa, Chordata, Mammalia, Perissodactyla, Equidae. The record is from Ensembl.